This 68-nucleotide transfer RNA is filed under the name Calumma oshaughnessyi. RNAcentral describes it as "tRNA-Ala". Lineage: Eukaryota; Metazoa; Chordata; Lepidosauria; Squamata; Chamaeleonidae. The record is from RNAcentral.
GAAAGCCUGCUGGAACUCACCAACAUCUCCUGAUUGCAACUCAGAUACUUUAAUUAAGCUAAGACCUC